UAAUACGAAGGGGGCGAGCGUUGUUCGGAUUUACUGGGCGUAAAGGGCGCGCCGGGGGCCCAUUUUGUCAGGCGUGAAAGACCCGGGCUUAACCUGGGAACUGCGUUUGAUACGGAUGGGCUAGAGUUCGGGAGAGGAGAAUGGAAUUCCCAGUGUAGAGGUGAAAUUCGUAGAUAUUGGGAAGAACACCGG
This 192-nucleotide ribosomal RNA is filed under the name uncultured bacterium. RNAcentral describes it as "partial 16S ribosomal RNA". It matches the Rfam family "Bacterial small subunit ribosomal RNA", at positions 521 to 712 of the family's 1533-position model. The record is from RNAcentral.